RNAcentral lists this transfer RNA (65 nucleotides) under Pyrausta despicata. Its description in RNAcentral is "tRNA-His". The record is from RNAcentral. Lineage: Eukaryota; Metazoa; Arthropoda; Insecta; Lepidoptera; Crambidae.
AUUUAAAUAAUUUAAUUAAAAUAUUGAUUUGUGGUUUCAAAAAUAUGAGUAAUUCAUUUUAAGUU